CAGUUAAGAACAAAUUCUUAUUUUCAAUGAUGAGAAUCUUAAUCUUAUUUUCAAUGAUGUCCUAGGAACAGUGGGUUAACUGCCUGUUAAGGGGCAGAACGAGAGAAUUUGUACCUUGUCAGCUCGGGGAUUUGAACUUGCAACCUUCCGGUAACUAGUUGAACACUCUAACCACUAGGCUACCCUGCCGCCCCAAAGUCUUGAACAUUAUACAAACUUUUCAUUUGCUUCCUUAAAAUCAUUUGUUUCACUGUAGCCAGACUGACCUGAAUAUAUUUUAUGUAUGUAAUGUACGUCAUACACUCACUAAGGUCUGAAGAAGUGAGGUUGAAAGAUCGAAAAAGGAGGCAAAACCAAAACACAGGUAGGAGGUAUCAUAUGAUGAGUGGUAUAGUCUUAAACCAAUGUUUAAAGACUUAACCCCCCCUCCAAUAUAUUUCAGGAUGAUGUAUAUGACUCUCCCCCAAGAAGUCACAGCAUGUCACAUCAGCCUCCAGCUCUGCAGGACCAGACAAUACUGAAAACAAAAUGCACGGCGAACUGGGAGCUGUGAACUGUGAAGCAGCAAGGUGGUGCGAACGCCAAACAUUUAAAGGCACCAUUUCCCUCCCUAGUGUAACUGGGAUGGAGGGGGAAGACCGUAUUACAACCCUUAAAGAACUACGGUUGUAUGAUGGCCUGGAUGAGGAGGAAAAUAUUCUCCUUAAGAAACCAUUCAUGUUCUCAUUCCAGUUACAGAGAGAUUAUUAGAUGUUCUAUGUGGAGGCAGUUGACAACAAGAAAAUUACUGCCUUUGUCUCUUUUGAGGAGCGGGAGUGAAGCAAUUUUUGAGGAGUGGUCAAACUUUGUUUUUGUCUGCUGUGUUAAUUGUUUCAUUUGUUAAUUGUGUUAUGUUGUUUAGUAAAGAUGACUUACAAGUCA
Oncorhynchus masou masou (cherry salmon) is the source of this 921-nucleotide long non-coding RNA. RefSeq lists it as uncharacterized. The transcript has 3 exons. NCBI's taxonomy places the organism in Eukaryota, Metazoa, Chordata, Actinopteri, Salmoniformes, Salmonidae. The record is from RefSeq and is a predicted model, not a curated record.